GCCACGGUGGUCUAGCGGUUAGAACGCUGGCCUUGUAAUCCUGGGGUCUGGGGUCUCGGGUUCGAUUCCCGGCGGUGCCC
This 80-nucleotide transfer RNA is filed under the name Zootermopsis nevadensis. It matches the Rfam family "tRNA". Rfam says of the family: Transfer RNA (tRNA) molecules are approximately 80 nucleotides in length. Lineage: Eukaryota; Metazoa; Arthropoda; Insecta; Blattodea; Termopsidae. The record is from Rfam by way of RNAcentral.